AAGCAGCCGCCGGAAUUGUACGGGUAUCAUUGAUGUUGAUAAAUAUGGAGUUGAAUACCGUUGCUUA
Molecule: transfer RNA, 67 nt
Filed under: Albinaria caerulea
Lineage: Eukaryota; Metazoa; Mollusca; Gastropoda; Stylommatophora; Clausiliidae
Description: tRNA-Ile
Source: RNAcentral